AGGACGAACGCUGGCGGCGUGCUUAACACAUGCAAGUGGAGCGACGAACCGGGGCUUGCCCCGGGGCAGAGCCGCGAACGGGUGAGUAACACGUGGGUAACCCACCUCGAUGAUUGGGACAACCCGGGGGAAACUCGGGCUAAUACCAAAUGUGCUCGUAGACCAUGAGGUCCAUGAGUAAAGAUAGCUUCGGCCUUCGCAUCGAGACGGGCCCGCGGCCCAUAGCUUGUUGGUGAGGUAACGGCUCACCAAAGGCGACGAUGGGUAGCUGGUCUGAGAGGACGAUCAGCCACACGUGGGACUGAGACACGGCCCAGACUCCUACGGGAGGCAGCAGUGGGAAUCGUUGCGCAAUGCGCGAAAGCGUGACGCAGCAACGCCGCGUGGAGGAAGACGGUCUUCGAUUGUAACU
RNAcentral lists this ribosomal RNA (412 nucleotides) under uncultured soil bacterium. RNAcentral describes it as "bacterial SSU rRNA". It matches the Rfam family "Bacterial small subunit ribosomal RNA", at positions 26 to 431 of the family's 1533-position model. The record is from RNAcentral.